UACGUAGGUGGCAAGCGUCGUCCGGAUUUAUUGGGCGUAAAGCGAGCGCAGGCGGUUCCUUAAGUCUGUUGUGAAAGCCCCCGGCUCAACCGGGGAGGGUCAUUGGGGACUGGGGAACUUGAGUGCAGAAGAGGAGAGUGGAAUUCCAUGUGUAGCGGUGAAAUGCGUAGAUAUAUGGAGGAACACCAGUGGCGAAGGCGACUCUCUGGACUGUAACUGACGCUGAGGCUCGAAAGCGUGGGGAGCAAACAGG
RNAcentral lists this ribosomal RNA (253 nucleotides) under uncultured bacterium. Its description in RNAcentral is "partial 16S ribosomal RNA". It matches the Rfam family "Bacterial small subunit ribosomal RNA", at positions 524 to 776 of the family's 1533-position model. The record is from RNAcentral.